GGGUCUAUGGCGCAGUUGGUAGCGCGUCUCGUUCGCAAUGAGAAGGUCGGCGGUUCGAAUCCGCCUAGAUCCA
Molecule: transfer RNA, 73 nt
Filed under: Actinomycetales bacterium
Lineage: Bacteria; Bacillati; Actinomycetota; Actinomycetes; Actinomycetales
Description: tRNA-Ala
Rfam family: tRNA
About the family: Transfer RNA (tRNA) molecules are approximately 80 nucleotides in length. Their secondary structure includes four short double-helical elements and three loops (D, anti-codon, and T loops). Further hydrogen bonds mediate the characteristic L-shaped molecular structure. tRNAs have two regions of fundamental functional importance: the anti-codon, which is responsible for specific mRNA codon recognition, and the 3' end, to which the tRNAs corresponding amino acid is attached (by aminoacyl-tRNA synthetases). tRNAs cope with the degeneracy of the genetic code in two manners: having more than one tRNA (with a specific anti-codon) for a particular amino acid; and 'wobble' base-pairing, i.e. permitting non-standard base-pairing at the 3rd anti-codon position.
Source: RNAcentral